Long non-coding RNA from Planococcus citri (citrus mealybug), 2577 nucleotides. RefSeq lists it as uncharacterized. The transcript is spliced from 3 exons. The record is from RefSeq and is a predicted model, not a curated record. NCBI's taxonomy places the organism in Eukaryota, Metazoa, Arthropoda, Insecta, Hemiptera, Pseudococcidae.
GAGAACAUAUAGUCGAGGACAAAAUCGGCCACAGCACUGGGCAUAUCGUAGCUCGGUGUGUGCGCAUGAUCGAAAGGAAUUGAGCGAAAAAUUUCUCUUUCGCUGUUCUCGUCGUUUCUAAUUGAUAAUUUAAUAAAAUGAUUUUCGAUAUGGAAACGGUUUAAAGUUGGUACGUUGCUAAUGCUUGUGAAAGUGCACCUUAUCUUUAUCGCGCUGCGCUGGCGCGAUUAACGUUUUCAAGCCGCGGAUGUACUGAAAAUGGGGAUACCUUAGUUACCGAUUUAUACAGUCUGAGUACAAAUAUAUUUGCGUGAUUGCGUAUAAAUUACAUGUGCAUGUGCAAGACGUACAAAUAGGUACGAGCUCAGAAUUGUAAUUCUGGAACUGAUUCGAAUAAGAACCUCGCAUCAUUGAGGGCUUUUUUCCAAAUUCCUCUAGGCUUACUCUUCGUUCCACAAAAUGUGUAUAACUACAUGUAACAAUAAUCAACGAGUUCUUUACUUUAGGUCAUUGCUGCACUCUUUUCUAGAUCUACAGGGAGAACAGAGUGUACUAAAGCGUGUUUAAUAUCGAGGAAUUACAUAAUUACGAGUAUUAUACGUAAAAUGAGUAAAGAUGAUUCGAUCAUGUAUUGAAAUUUGAAAAGGUGCGAAGAAGAAGGUGGCGCUAAUUAUGUGUACACUUGUGAGACUAAAUUAUUGAUAUUUUCUAAAAAAAAAUUAUACCCUUUCAUUCAUUUUGCCUGUAUGUUCACUCGAUUGCAUGCUCUGAAAAUUUUAGCUCGAUUUGGUAUUCGAUCGAGUUGCGAAAAUAAAGUAAAUGGCAAACCAGAGCUGUUUGUUGAAUAUUUAUGUUAGGUACUUAUUAUUUUUUAUGUUGAAAAUAUGGAAAUGUGUACUUUCUAUUGUAAUUAUUCGACUUAUUUAUUGUAAAUAUCUAUCAAAAGUGGAAAAAUUCCAACUUAAUUUGCUGGGCAAUAAAAUUCCAUGAAAUAAGAUCCUUAGAUUUUCAACGAAUUGAAUUUUUAUUUCAAUUUUUUUUUUUUCACUGAUCACGAAAGAUUUAACAAUUGAAAAUUUUUCACAGACGUACUCAUCUAGAUUAAUGGACAAGAUUCGUGAUAUCUGCCAUUUAACAGCUUCGAACCUUCCAUUUAAAGACUAUAAUGAUCUCCUAUUUACUACGUGCGCGAAUUUGUGCUAUAUCCAAGUUGCAAGUUCCCUGCUGCUCAGCUACAUGAUGUACUCAUGGUGUUCAUGGUGAAAUGGUUUGAAGUUUGGUGCUAGCUGUUUCGACUUGGACGACUUGGUGCUUGGUCCAUCGCGACUCGCGAGAGGGUCUCCUCUUCCUCCUGCGAUUGCGAUGCGUUUAUUCGGGGUGGAUGGACGAGUGUGAGUGUGAGUGUAGCACACACAGCGUGUAUGUGACUCACACUCGGAUACCUACUUCUCGCAUUUGUGUAGAGUGUAUUUGAAUGUAUUUGUAUACCUAAUGUACGAUGGGACACAACAAUAACACAAAGAAGUGAACUGCUUCGCUAGAAUGAAUUCUGAAAGAGCAAGAAAGAAAAGCAGAGAGAGCAAGCGGGAAGGGUUAACGAGGGGUUACUUUUGUAAGUAACCUUGACUGCGCACAGAAUCCGGUUUUAUCGUUCCAUCACCGUUCAUCUUCAUACGCUGUGCUGUGUGUAUCUCAUCUGGAUAGCCGAUAGUGUAUGGUGAGCUCAUUAACAAGGAAAAUACGUUUACCUGCGCUUAAUUGGGUUGUCGAUGGUUCUGAAUCUGGUAAUUUUAUUCGACUUAUGCGAAAGUAGAUCAAACACCGCGGCAUCAUUCUCCUACUAUACGUCAUUACCGAUGUGAAAUUGAAUUUCUAAAGUCGGCUAUUUUGAUAUUACGCGUUGAUAUACGGACUCGUAUUUUCUCACGAUGAUCAUACCUAAGUUCAAUUUGAAGUAUUUCAGAAAUGACAUGCAUUCUAGAUAAAAAUAUACCUAUCCCGACGUACUGUUUCAAGGCUACUCGGAAUUUAAUGCCCUACAACUUCGGUUUUAUACAAUUUUUACGUAGAACGUUUAGUUUCUCUGUAAUAUUACGUCAAAGUUUCAUAAAAUGUUUAAAACGACCUUAAUGUAAAAAAUAUAAUGCAAUUUAUAGGUUAUGUAUACAUUAUAAUGAAAAUUUGCGCAAUUCAACUUAACCAGACCGAGUGUUCGAUGAGAAAAUGCGUGUUGAGAUCGAAGUUGUGCAGCGCUAAAAACCCUACAAUAAGAUGGUCGUUUGGUACGCGUAUUUGUACUUUUGGUUUCCAAUUGAAUCCGAAAUAAGUAUACCAAUUGGCAGGUCAUUUUUCAAACAUGAUAAACUUGAAUGGAAAGAGUAUGCAAAAAUACAUCGCUAGCCAAAAUUUUCAGUGCCCAAGUGUUCGUGUAUUUUUUGAUUUUUGUUGCAUUUUUGAAAAUCUAGAAUUGUCAAAAUACGACUGGAGCCACUCGGAAUGUUGAAAUUAGCGAUAUAAAGUUGAUUUUAGCUUCCCACCUUCUUGCUAAAAUGUCUGGAAUUUGCAACUUUCAAAAUC